Long non-coding RNA from Chinchilla lanigera (long-tailed chinchilla), 321 nucleotides. RefSeq lists it as uncharacterized. The record is from RefSeq and is a predicted model, not a curated record. The transcript has 3 exons. Lineage: Eukaryota; Metazoa; Chordata; Mammalia; Rodentia; Chinchillidae.
CAAAACCAACCAGUGUGCCAACCAACCAAACAAAACUCCCACAAACCUCUUCUGAAGGUCUGAAAAAUAAAGACACGCCUCAUGAAAACGUCUGAGACUACCAACUGGAGUUUUCUAGAUUUCACAUACAAUGGGGCUCUGCCUUUCCUGAGAGCUCCAUCUAGGAUCUGGGUCUUGCUGUGGAAGUAGAAAGAAUAGACGUUGAGAGUAGCAUCCUGGUUCUCACACCCACUGAAAUCCGGAAGACUGACUCCUCUGAUGAGAGACUGCUUUCUGAUGAGGAGAUAAUCUUCUCCAUUUCCUUCUUGAUGCAUGGGUGAA